This is a long non-coding RNA of Saccostrea cuccullata (small rock oyster), 210 nucleotides long. RefSeq lists it as uncharacterized. The transcript is spliced from 3 exons. The record is from RefSeq and is a predicted model, not a curated record. Lineage: Eukaryota; Metazoa; Mollusca; Bivalvia; Ostreida; Ostreidae.
CCCCCUUCCUAAUAGGCAUUCGUCCUCGAAUGGGAACUAUGUCAAACCAUUGAAAGGAAGAGAAAUCACUGAUGUCAAAGAUUAGGAACUAGAGUCUGCAUUUGAGGUUGAAGAUGAUGAUGAUGAUGAUACCGAAGAUACGACUGACUUGGAUUUGGUCAGGUCUCCAAAGUACCAAGUCAAUAGGGAGUGCAACUUGUCGACCAAAGA